This 466-nucleotide ribosomal RNA is filed under the name uncultured bacterium. RNAcentral describes it as "partial 16S ribosomal RNA". It matches the Rfam family "Bacterial small subunit ribosomal RNA", at positions 28 to 506 of the family's 1533-position model. The record is from RNAcentral.
GACGAACGCUGGCGGCGUGCUUAACACAUGCAAGUCGAACGGAAAGGCCCUGCUUUUGUGGGGUGCUGAGUGGCGAACGGGUGAGUAACACGUGAGUAACCUGCCCUUGACUUUGGGAUAACUUCAGGAAACUGGGGCUAAUACCGGAUAGGAGCUCCUGCUGCAUGGUGGGGGUUGGAAAGUUUCGGCGGUUGGGGAUGGACUCGCGGCUUAUCAGCUUGUUGGUGGGGUAGUGGCUUACCAAGGCUUUGACGGGUAGCCGGCCUGAGAGGGUGACCGGCCACAUUGGGACUGAGAUACGGCCCAGACUCCUACGGGAGGCAGCAGUGGGGAAUAUUGCACAAUGGGCGGAAGCCUGAUGCAGCAACGCCGCGUGCGGGAUGACGGCCUUCGGGUUGUAAACCGCUUUCGCCUGUGACGAAGCGUGAGUGACGGUAAUGGGUAAAGAAGCACCGGCUAACUACGU